This is a long non-coding RNA of Mus musculus (house mouse), 262 nucleotides long. RefSeq annotates it as predicted gene, 41924. NCBI's taxonomy places the organism in Eukaryota, Metazoa, Chordata, Mammalia, Rodentia, Muridae. The record is from RefSeq and is a predicted model, not a curated record. The transcript is spliced from 3 exons.
UGUGCCCUGGACUGCCCACUGCUGGACCCUACGUUACUUGUCCUUGAGGUUUGGAGGUGAGGUGGCAAGAGACAGACUCCAGGAUCAGGUAUUGAAAGUGUAGCUGAUGGAGAGACCUGCCACUGGUGCCACUAUGACAUGCAAGUAUGUGGUGGAGAGAUGGGAAAGGAGGAAAGCAGAAUAUUUUGAGCAUCAUGAAAAGAAUCAAAACAGAGGAGACAAGACUGGAGAUUAAAGAAGGAGAAGAUGUUCCAGGUUAUUU